This 442-nucleotide ribosomal RNA is filed under the name uncultured bacterium. Its description in RNAcentral is "bacterial SSU rRNA". It matches the Rfam family "Bacterial small subunit ribosomal RNA", at positions 338 to 795 of the family's 1533-position model. The record is from RNAcentral.
CCUACGGGAGGCAGCAGUGGGGAAUAUUGGGCAAUGGGAGAAAUCCUGACCCAGCGACGCCGCGUGAACGAAGACGGCCUUCGGGUUGUAAAGUUCUUUUAUGUGGGAAGAAGGAAGUGACGGUACCACAUGAAUAAGCCCCGGCUAACUACGUGCCAGCAGCCGCGGUAAUACGUAGGGGGCGAGCGUUGUCCGGAAUUACUGGGCGUAAAGGGCACGCAGGCUGUGCUUCAAGUCAGCUGUAAAAGGAUGCGGCUUAACCGUGUUAUGCAGUUGAGACUGAGGUGCUGGAGUACCGGAGAGGCAAGUGGAAUUCCCAGUGUAGCGGUGAAAUGCGUAGAUAUUGGGAAGAACAUCGGUGGCGAAGGCGACUUGCUGGACGGUAACUGACGCUGAGGUGCGAAAGCCAGGGUAGCGAACGGGAUUAGAUACCCUAGUAGUC